RNAcentral lists this ribosomal RNA (2538 nucleotides) under Triticum aestivum (bread wheat). RNAcentral describes it as "partial small subunit ribosomal RNA". The record is from RNAcentral. Lineage: Eukaryota; Viridiplantae; Streptophyta; Magnoliopsida; Poales; Poaceae.
AUGGUUCGUUCCCGUGCUCAUGCUUCCCAGCGUAUUCGCUCCACGUCGUUGGGUUCCUCUUCCUCGGUGGGUUCUUCUUUGCCGGUUGGUGCUGUUGAUGGGAGGUUUCUUGCCCAAGGUUCGAGUGCUGAUGAGGCGCGGCUGCGACGCCAGGCACGGCAAGAUAUCCGUCGUGGGAAGCGUCCUGUAGAUUCAUCGUCUGUUGGAAGGAACGUUCGGCCUGUACUUGAAGAGCUGGUUGAUCCUUGUCUUCUUGCUGUUAGAGCUGCAUCUGGCGUGGAAGUUUUGUGUCGUCCGUAUUUUACUGUUGGUUGGUUGUCUGGUUCCUCGCGUGGACCGACUCCUUCUGUUCUUCCUACACCUGUUGUUAGUCGUGUUGAUGCUGUUUGGAAUCGUCGGAAGCGAAGGAUUCUUCGAGAUUAUUACACCAGCAAAAAAAGAGUUCCUGCUAUGGAGCCGCCAUUUGCUAAGGAAAAUAUAUUACUUCUUAAAGGCGUUUCACGUGUUCGCUCUUAUUAUGGUGGUCCUGAGUAUGUUUGCCCGGCGUGCCAUGCUUCAUUUUGGUUUCUGGAGGGCUGUAAGAGUUAUGCUACUGGUGGUGGUCGCCUUCCAGUGUAUACUGGCUGCUGCAAGGGAGGCAAGGUGUCGUUGCCUUCAUUUCCCGGGGGUCCCUAUGUCUUCAAGAUGAAUGGGGUGGUUUAUCAUCGUAUUGGUCCUCUUCUUCCUUCGGGGAAUAGUGCGCCAAAGUAUGCUCAGCUUUAUAUGGUGGAAUCUGCUGAUGAAGUGCAGUUGAGAAUUAGUGCCUUUGAUCGUCAAGGAGCUGAAACGCUUGAUCCUGAUCCAGGCAUUGUGGCUUCUCUUAUUGCUAUGUUAAAUAGGCAUCAUAAAUUGGUGCAUAAGUUUAGAAUGGCUAGGGAAAAUCUGUGUUCUCCUUCUGCUCCUAGGGUGGCUAUACAUUUUAUGGGUGAUGAAGGCGGUGGUCAUGGUGACCGUUUUUCUGGUCCUGCUUCAUGUGAGGUGGUUGCUCUUAUAGUCGGCGAUUACACGCCUGAAUGUAAAAGAUUUGAUGUUAUUGCUGAAACUCGCUCUGGUUUUCUUCGGCAUAUCUCUUCAUUGAAUUCGAGUCUUAUGCCCCCACAGUAUCCUCUCUUAUUUCCCUUUGGUGACAAAGGAUUUCAUCUUGGUAUCAAGUAUAUUGCUAUUGGUGGGCCUCAUGGAGAUGGGCAUUGUAAUAUUGGUGGACGUUUAUGUGGUCGUUCUUCUCGAGGGCAAGUAUCUAUGAUGGAAUACUAUAAUUAUUACUUCCAUUAUAGACGGGGGGAGCCAAAUCCUUAUACCUGUUGCGGUCGUUUGAGCCAGCAGAUAGGUGUGAAUUCUUAUUCUUGUGUGGAAGCUAAUCGUUUGGACUUUCACUUUCAGCAACAAGAUGAUUUACGUUCUGAGACGUAUCAAGGUAUUACUGAUGCUGUCGGACAGGGUGGAUCAACUGGUGAGAAUUUGAGGAUUCAGUUUAUAUUACAUUCGAGUUUUACGGGUGGCCCUCGGUACAUGGUGCUUAAUUACCAUGAUGGUAUGGCUAUUUGUCGCGAAUAUGGUGCUCCCGAUCUUUUUGUCACUUUUACAUGCAAUCCAAAGUGGCAAGAAGUUGUUGAUGCUCUCGCAUAUGAAGGUGGUCAGACUCACGUUGAUCGUCCUGACAUUGUUACGUGUGUUUUCAAUAUAAAAUUUGAAGAAUUUUUAGAAGAUGUAAAGGAUGGAUCAGCAUUUGGAGCUAUUCAAGCUUAUUUGUAUGUGGUGGAAUUUCAAAAGAGAGGGCUUCCUCAUACUCAUACUCUUAUCUGGCUUAAAGAGAGUACGAAGGAUCCUUCGCCUGCUUUUAUAGAUAAUCUGGUGUGUGCUGAGUUACCAGAUCCAAUGGUUGACCCUUUGGGAUAUACACUUGUGGAUGAAUUCAUGGUUCACGGCCCAUGUGGUAUGUUGGAUGACAAGUGCCCUUGUAUGAAAGAUGGCACUUGCUCAAAGCGAUUUCCAAAGUCUUUUAACAGUGAGACAAUGGUGGAUGAGAUGGGGUUUCCUGUAUAUCGUCGACGCCCCUCUGCUAAUUUUGUUCUUAGAAAGAAGGGGACUCUUCUUUUGGAUAAUCAAUGGGUUGUUCCCUACAAUAUGAAAUUCCUCAAAAAGUUUGAGGCUCAUAUAAAUGUUGAGUGGUGCAAUAAGACAAACCUUCUUAAGUAUUUGUUUAAGUAUCUCACAAAAGGCCCUGAUGUAGUACGAUUCCGAAUCCGUUCUGAAAAUGAAAAUAGAAGCGUGUAUGCUGUCCGUAAUCCAACUGGGAGGAAUGAAAUCGAUGAAUAUGUUAAAUGCAGGUUAAUACAUUGGUUUGUAAAUUUGUUCUGCUUACUCUAUGUGUAUUCUGUUCAUUUAUCCUAUUUAUUCAGUUUUCUGUUGUUUGCUGUAGGUAUUUAUCUGCUUGCGAAUCAUUUUGGACAAUGUUUGGCUAUGAUAUUCAUGGUCGACAACCUUCUGUCGAGAGAUUAG